GUGAGACCAAAAUAUUAAUUGGCAACCAUAGGUAGUCACACACAUCAAAACAUGGUUCCUGCCGACAGAGUCUGUAUAGUUAUCAGAUUUUCUGUGCGAUGGCUCCAUACAUG
Pipistrellus kuhlii (Kuhl's pipistrelle) is the source of this 113-nucleotide non-coding RNA. NCBI's taxonomy places the organism in Eukaryota, Metazoa, Chordata, Mammalia, Chiroptera, Vespertilionidae. The record is from RefSeq and is a predicted model, not a curated record.